This 1326-nucleotide long non-coding RNA is filed under the name Olea europaea subsp. europaea. Lineage: Eukaryota; Viridiplantae; Streptophyta; Magnoliopsida; Lamiales; Oleaceae. The record is from RNAcentral.
GUUCCCACUGCUAAAAGACAUGAGAAACCUUACGUAUUUGUGAGUAAAUGUCACUAAAUCAAUAAAGAACUUAGAAGAUUGUGAUAAUUUCCUUUAGAACCAUAUUAUUUUAUACAUAUGUUGCGUGCUAGCAGGACGUUAAGUAGCUGUAACAUAACUGGAAGCAUUCCUAAUUACCUUACAGGCAUUGGAUCAUUGAAGGCUAUCUAAGUACUGAUUCUAGUAGUAGUACCUCUUUUCUUCUUUUUACAAUUACACUCCACAUCAUAAUUGUUUCAAUAUUCUCGUGACUAAAUGCCAACUCUAUGAGUUACUUAAAAAGAAUAUACCUAGCAGCUCGCAGUCCUGGACUCCCUCUAGCAUUUUAGUUGUUUUCUUUUCACAUUUAUAUGAGCUAAUUUUUCAUGAGAUUUAAAGUUAAAGAAUUGUGUAAACUUUUAACACAACCACAGUUCUUAUUUCCUCUUCUUUCAUUCUAGAAAUAACCAUUUAUUUGGGAGGCAUUGGAAAUUUCUAUCAGUGGAAUAUAAGGAAAGCUCAUAUUUAAGGGAAGCUACCGUAUUUAAUAAGUUACCAUUAAUGGAUAAUUGUAAAUGAUAGCUAGAAUAUUUAGUUUUUUUAUAUUUCAAUAUAACGAGAGAACCUCUUAUAUUGAGGGGCUUAUUGAUUAUGAUUGAGUAUAUUCGAAUAUCAUAUGGAUUAGAACUCAAUUCAUCCUCAAGUGAUUUCUCUAUUCUUUCUCUCUAAUUGCAUCAUCGACAACCGUCUCAACAGUGGGCGGAGGUAGAACAGCCAAAGCAAUAGUGACCUGAAGACUGAGAGAGAGCACUUAACCCUAAGAAAUAUUUAGUUCAAUUGUUUAGCACAGAAGAAAUAGGUUUUGUCGCUCCUAUUGAUACUCAGGCGUUCACAGUGAGGUAAAAGAUGAAUUGUGUGCUCACCACCAAACUAAGUUAAGUACUUCACCAAAGCAGUGAAGCAAUUAAUCUGCGAAGAGUUUCAAGCGAUACAGAGAGAAAAGUUAAUUGGAAGAGAAAGGUUAGGACAAGUUUGCCCCCGCUGCUGUGGACCCUAUCCAUAUUCCUUGUGUUCGAUCUUGUAAAUUGCUAUGAACUGAACAGAACCAAGCAUACUUGCUGCCGUUGCUGACAUGUAAAGCAUCGCCUCCAAUCUGUCAUAGGCAGUGGGAUUUCAGGAACAACCGAUUCUAGAAAAAAUGGAAAUUUCAGUCACCAUUUUCGAGUCCAGUAGUCCACUAGACGACCCAGGGGCCGGAUCUCUCAACGCAGAGAAAUUGCUGAAGAUGAGAGAGAGCUAUUAGUCGAC